Aethalodelphis obliquidens (Pacific white-sided dolphin) is the source of this 1408-nucleotide long non-coding RNA. RefSeq lists it as uncharacterized. Lineage: Eukaryota; Metazoa; Chordata; Mammalia; Artiodactyla; Delphinidae. The transcript has 5 exons. The record is from RefSeq and is a predicted model, not a curated record.
GGAGGGGGGAAGAGAAGGGGACAUUAGGGCUGGCUCACGAGGGAGGGCUCAAGCUGUAGGAUUUGGGCCUGGCAAGGAGAUGUUUCAGGAAGAAAAAUGUUAUAUAAAGUUCACUCUUUCAGAAUGCAUUGCAAGGCUUUCCAUUCUCAAGAAAUCUCAACCUGUUUAGAAAAAUCAAAGAUCUGCCCUGGACCUUGAAGCCAUAAUUGAUCCUGACCCUGCCAAGGGCUAAUCUGCAUCUCCCCACCCCCUUCUGCAGGCCUGCUCCUCUGAAGCCACUUCAGGGGGAUUUGCUCGACCUUCCCAUCAGGGACAUUCCCUUAUACUUCAUCCAGCUCUUUCGCUACAGGAUGAAACUGAAUUGAGCCUGUUCAGUUCUUAUUUGGCUGCCUGUUUUAAAAAUAACCUUUUGUAUAUUUGAAAAAAUUCAUCGUCCCAAAUGAUCCCUCAGCUUUUUCCUUUCCAGGCUUCACGGCUCCUUUAACCUUUACCUCUAAGUCCCACUCUUCAUUCCUUUAAUCCUUUUGUUAUUCUCCUUGUAGUUCCUUUGGAUUUCCACACCAUUCCCCAUCUCCUCACUUCUCCCACUUGCAACAAAACAGGACGGGGGAGACAAAUACGGACAGGACUAGUUCUUCCUUCACCUCCUGGAUACCUGCCAUGAACGAGGAAUUGAAUGCUUCUGGAUGAGAGACAGAAAAUAAUUCUUCCUGCUUAUGAUGUUGAGGACCUGACAUCGCUUCCUGUGGCUCAGAGGCUCAAAGCGAGCGUGGGGCCCUCCUUACCGCGUCUGAAAGGAACUUUCCCUGUAAACAGGUACCCACGUCUACUCACCGAGCUCUGGCCCCUCCCACUGCUGCAUUCAGCCCGGCCGUCUCCUCCCGGGUGCCGGCGGAGAAGCCAAAGAUUUUGGGGUUGAACUUCUUCAGAAUGUCUUUGAAGAGGGAAGGAGCAGAGAGCACAGGGAGGUCUGAAAGGCUGCCAUCGGGACUAAGCCAAGGGGAGAAGUGUGGUUUGUGGAGAGCCCGGGAGCCCAGCAGUGCUGCAGCCUAGCUCGUCAUGGGCUACCCGGGAUCAAGGUCUGCACUGCACGGGAAUCAGCAAGACCUGCUCAAGGCUCCAAGUUUAUUCCAGGGAACUGCUCAAUUCAUCACACGGAUGGAGUCCUUCUGUGUGGGAGUUCUACUGAAAUCAAGAACACGUUUGUGCGCAGAUGACAAAUAUCUGGGGAAGAUGCAAUUAAAAAAAAUUCUAUAGCCGUGAGCACUUUAGGAACAUCUCAGAGAACUGGUGAGCCAGAGACAAGCCCAUCCCAUGCAGAUGAACAGACCCAGGUUGGAAAUGGAGCACUCUCGUCUGUUCCAAGGGAAGAACUGUACUUGGCACCCUAUGCCAGGGCACCCGGAUC